RNAcentral lists this ribosomal RNA (454 nucleotides) under uncultured bacterium. RNAcentral describes it as "partial 16S ribosomal RNA". It matches the Rfam family "Bacterial small subunit ribosomal RNA", at positions 28 to 507 of the family's 1533-position model. The record is from RNAcentral.
GAUGAACGCUGACAGAAUGCUUAACACAUGCAAGUCAACUUGAACUUCGGUUUGGGUGGCGGACGGGUGAGUAACGCGUAAAGAACUUGCCUCACAGAUAGGGACAACAUUUGGAAACGAAUGCUAAUACCUGAUAUUAUGAUUAUAUGGCAUCGUAUAAUUAUGAAAGCUAUAUGCGCUGUGAGAGAGCUUUGCGUCCCAUUAGCUAGUUGGAGAGGUAACGGCUCACCAAAGCGAUGAUGGGUAGCCGGCCUGAGAGGGUGAUCGGCCACAAGGGGACUGAGACACGGCCCUUACUCCUACGGGAGGCAGCAGUGGGGAAUAUUGGACAAUGGACCAAGAGUCUGAUCCAGCAAUUCUGUGUGCACGAUGAAGUUUUUCGGAAUGUAAAGUGCUUUCAGUUGGGAAGAAAAAAAUGACGGUACCAACAGAAGAAGUGACGGCUAAAUACGUG